Molecule: long non-coding RNA, 614 nt
Organism: Rosa chinensis
Lineage: Eukaryota; Viridiplantae; Streptophyta; Magnoliopsida; Rosales; Rosaceae
Exons: 2
Source: RefSeq, a predicted model, not a curated record
GUUCGAGAUCAACCUGGAGGUACCCAGCGCUCUCGAUCUUUCUCGGUGCCUGAUGACCCGCGACCAGGCCACCUCACGACGGCGCACCACCACAAAUUGCUUCCUCUCCUCGUCGCCGACGUCUCUCUGGGGUCAGGUCUUUCAACCGGAAGCUCUGGCGCGAGAAUCGACACCAUGAAGCCUCAUGUUUUCCGGCGAGUUUCUGCAACUUCCGGUGACCGAUUGGGCUGCAUGUGAAGCUGUGAAUGAGUGGAAUUCGAUUUGGCAGUAUGUUUAAUUGUUUAUAGCCGGCUUCCAGGAAAGAGUUGAAAUAGAAGCUUGGGUUCUCACCUGCAAGUCGCACUGCUGAAGGUAAAAUUCGAGGUUCUGGAAGAAAUUGUUUCUUGUUUUGUACUUGGAUUGAGAAAUUAGUUCGAGCUAUGUUGAAUGGGUUGUUGAAUGAAAUUGAUUGUUAUGUUGGCACUCUGAGCAUAGAUUCAAACUCUUUUGUCUGGUGUGGUGAGAUUAUCAAAGCAUGAGUAUUUUGGUGGAAGCAUUUACUGGUGCAUAGCCUGGUAUUCAUUGGAAAUUGGACAUAUAGUGGAUAUAAAAUUGUUUUGAGUUGGCUUGGAAAA